GCAAGUCGAGCGAGCUUGCCUAGAUGAAUUUGGUGCUUGCACCAAAUGAAACUAGAUACAAGCGAGCGGCGGACGGGUGAGUAACACGUGGGUAACCUGCCCAAGAGACUGGGAUAACACCUGGAAACAGAUGCUAAUACCGGAUAACAACACUAGACGCAUGUCUAGAGUUUAAAAGAUGGUUCUGCUAUCACUCUUGGAUGGACCUGCGGUGCAUUAGCUAGUUGGUAAGGUAACGGCUUACCAAGGCAAUGAUGCAUAGCCGAGUUGAGAGACUGAUCGGCCACAUUGGGACUGAGACACGGCCCAAACUCCUACGGGAGGCAGCAGUAGGGAAUCUUCCACAAUGGACGCAAGUCUGAUGGAGCAACGCCGCGUGAGUGAAGAAGGGUUUCGGCUCGUAAAGCUCUGUUGGUAGUGAAGAAAGAUAGAGGUAGUAACUGGCCUUUAUUUGACGGUAAUUACUUAGAAAGUCACGGCUAACUACGUGCCAGCAGCCGCGGUAAUACGUAGGUGGCAAGCGUUGUCCGGAUUUAUUGGGCGUAAAGCGAGUGCAGGCGGUUCAAUAAGUCUGAUGUGAAAGCCUUCGGCUCAACCGGAGAAUUGCAUCAGAAACUGUUGAACUUGAGUGCAGAAGAGGAGAGUGGAACUC
This 652-nucleotide ribosomal RNA is filed under the name Lactobacillus gasseri. RNAcentral's name for it is "bacterial SSU rRNA". It matches the Rfam family "Bacterial small subunit ribosomal RNA", at positions 57 to 669 of the family's 1533-position model. The record is from RNAcentral. Lineage: Bacteria; Bacillati; Bacillota; Bacilli; Lactobacillales; Lactobacillaceae.